RNAcentral lists this ribosomal RNA (292 nucleotides) under uncultured bacterium. RNAcentral describes it as "partial 16S ribosomal RNA". It matches the Rfam family "Bacterial small subunit ribosomal RNA", at positions 505 to 796 of the family's 1533-position model. The record is from RNAcentral.
GUUCAAGCAGCCGCGGUAAUACAGAGGGGGCAAGCGUUAUUCGGAAUUAUUGGGCGUAAAGGGCGCGUAGGCGGCCUGGCAAGUGGAAGGUGAAAUCCCUCGGCUUAACCGAGGAACUGCCUCCCAAACUGCUUGGCUUGAGACCAGGAGAGGUGAGUGGAAUUCCCAGUGUAGCGGUGAAAUGCGUAGAUAUUGGGAGGAACACCAGUGGCGAAGGCGGCUCACUGGACUGGUACUGACGCUGAGGCGCGAAAGCGUGGGGAGCAAACGGGAUUAGAAACCCCCGUAGUCC